UACGAAGGGGGCUAGCGUUGCUCGGAAUUACUGGGCGUAAAGGGCGCGUAGGCGGAUAGUUUAGUCAGAGGUAAAAGCCCAGGGCUCAACCUUGGAACUGCCUUUGAUACUGGCUAUCUUGAGUUCGGGAGAGGUGAGUGGAAUGCCGAGUGUAGAGGUGAAAUUCGUAGAUAUUAGGAAGAACACCAGUGGCGAAGGCGGCUCACUGGCCCGGUACUGACGCUGAGGCGCGAAAGCGUGGGGAGCAAACAGG
This 253-nucleotide ribosomal RNA is filed under the name uncultured bacterium. RNAcentral describes it as "partial 16S ribosomal RNA". It matches the Rfam family "Bacterial small subunit ribosomal RNA", at positions 524 to 776 of the family's 1533-position model. The record is from RNAcentral.